RNAcentral lists this long non-coding RNA (232 nucleotides) under Gossypium barbadense (sea-island cotton). Its description in RNAcentral is "long non-coding RNA (GBAR_LNC022611)". Lineage: Eukaryota; Viridiplantae; Streptophyta; Magnoliopsida; Malvales; Malvaceae. The record is from RNAcentral.
CGUUUUGCAGUGACGAGAAUAGUCCACUAAGCACUGAGCAAUAUAUAAUCUCAUUCCUAUUUAUAGGAAUUUUUAUGUCUAUUUAUAGAGACAUCUUUUAAUAUGUGUGUUUAUGAAUAAAUAUUUGCAAAUGUUUCAACAAGAUAGAGGGGGAUGAACUUAAAAACUGCAAGGCUUCAUGGUUCCCAUACCCCAACCUUCCUCUUCCUAUCCUAUGAAUUUUGUAAACUGG